This 253-nucleotide ribosomal RNA is filed under the name uncultured bacterium. RNAcentral's name for it is "partial 16S ribosomal RNA". It matches the Rfam family "Bacterial small subunit ribosomal RNA", at positions 524 to 776 of the family's 1533-position model. The record is from RNAcentral.
UACAGAGGGGGCAAGCGUUGUUCGGAAUUACUGGGCGUAAAGGGCGCGUAGGCGGCCUUCUAAGUCGAACGUGAAAUCCCCGGGCUCAACCCGGGAACUGCGUCCGAUACUGGAAGGCUUGAAUCCGGGAGAGGGAUGCGGAAUUCCAGGUGUAGCGGUGAAAUGCGCAGAUAUCGGGAGGAACACCGGUGGCGAAGGCGGUUCUCUGGGCCUGACCUGACGCUGAGGAGCGAAAGCGUGGGGAGCGAACAGG